This 90-nucleotide non-coding RNA is filed under the name human gut metagenome. Its description in RNAcentral is "TPP riboswitch (THI element)". It matches the Rfam family "TPP riboswitch aptamer (THI element)", at positions 6 to 93 of the family's 105-position model. From Rfam's summary of the family: Vitamin B(1) in its active form thiamin pyrophosphate (TPP) is an essential coenzyme that is synthesised by coupling of pyrimidine and thiazole moieties in bacteria. The previously detected thiamin-regulatory element, thi box was extended, resulting in a new, highly conserved RNA secondary structure, the THI element, which is widely distributed in eubacteria and also occurs in some archaea. Analysis of operon structures identified a large number of new candidate thiamin-regulated genes, mostly transporters, in various prokaryotic organisms. The record is from RNAcentral.
UAUUGCUAGGGGAGCACAAUGCUGAGAUUGAAUCCUCGGAUUCUAACCCUCACUACCUGAACCGGAUAAUACCGGCGUAGGGAAGCAACG